Molecule: long non-coding RNA, 2948 nt
Organism: Cavia porcellus (domestic guinea pig)
Lineage: Eukaryota; Metazoa; Chordata; Mammalia; Rodentia; Caviidae
Exons: 5
Source: RefSeq, a predicted model, not a curated record
GGCUGACUCCCACCACUGGCCUCAAGCGAAGAUUACACUCCACCUGGCCCAACCUGUGCGUGCCGCGCCCACGGAGUGUCCCUCGCCUUGUGCCUGCACAUCUCACUCAGUCCCGCGCCGCCCCUGGUCUCGCCCUCACGGUGGGUGCCGGUAUUGUGCACUAAGUCGCCAUUUUGCCGCUAGAGAAACCCUGUGGAGACCUGAACGCUCUUUCUUCAGCGGCCUAGCCUGCGGCGGCGCCGGGACUGGGUCUGGGCCAGGUAGGCGGGCGGAAGCCGGCUGUGAGCGGAAGCGCGGCAGGUGGCCCCGAGAACUGAAGGAGCCCUACUGCUGUCAUCCGAGGCAGACAGAGACCACUGUAAGCCACGCCCUCAGCACAGAUGCAUCCAGUGACUCGGCCCUGCUACUGACAGCAACCACUGUGCCCUGUGCUUUCCCACGCAUCAUCCUUGGGCAGCCACUGCCUCCUGUCUGCUCUCAAGCCUUGUCCUUGGCAGGACAACCCUGUUUCACUGAGCUCUCCUCCUCAUGACCCUGAUUCAGACCUCACAACGUGUGUGAGAGGAACCGUCUGGUCCAAGUGCGCGACUAGCCCUCUCAGGGUUGUUCUGAAAUAAACGUGACCUGUUGCACUUGUGUCUUUGUCUCUUGUUCUCCUUUUUCCCUAACAGAGCAGAGCUACAUUCCUAAGGUCAAUUCCAUCUUGUCAGUGUUCUGUAUCUUUCUUGCCUUCAUCAUAUUUUCAUAGUUUUCCUUUUACAUUAUACCGUGGGUGUUUCUUAAUCUUGGUUUCCGAAUGACACUUUAUUUUUAUUUUGUGGGGCAACUGUGUGUUCUUCAAGGUCUCCAAUAUGAAUUUAAUGCUGCCUUUGCUGCUUUAAUGUCACGUAUCCUCAAAUACAUUUGAAAAUAUUGUAGCCUAUGGUCAUAAAGAGAUGUCCAUUUUGGUUAUGAGAAUAACAUUUCAUGAGAACUUUCAUUUAAUGCCUAUACUUUGACUAAUGAGUCAGAUCUUAAGAUUUUUAUUUGCUUAUUGAGGAACCAAGUAAUUUGGAUAUAGGUCACUUUUUAGGUCUACGAUAUUGUGCAAUUUGACAGAUUUAUGCAGCCCUUAAACAUCAUCACAACAAAUACCUUAAAUGUUUCAAUUAGUUCUUAUUUUAUCCUGACCUUUUACCCUUAACUAUAACAACAUAUCUGAUUCAUCUUUAUAACUUUACAGUUUUUACUAACACAGUGAUGCUUCAGUUCAAGAACUUAAUUAAUUCUUUCCACAAUUCUGUUCACAAACCAAAUUGGUCAAAAACUGAAAGUUUAGGUUCAGAGUUGACUUUGUGGUGAAAUUUGAUUCUAUUCUAACCCAAUUUGUUGUGAGCAGAAUCAUGGAAACAGCUUAAGUUAAGCUUGCAAGCUGAGCUACUGCUGUAUGACAUAACUGGAAUCACAUAACUGUAGUUUUAAGUUUGAUUUUUUUUCCUUAACACAGUGCAACUGAGUUGUAAUUUGCUACACAUAUCAAUAGUUUUUCUUUUUAUUAUUCAAUAAUAUUCCUUUAUAUGAAUGUAUCUGAAUUUGCUCACCUAUUCGCCAGCUAGGGAGGGUUUUUUUCUUGUUUUUCUGUGUAAUAAAACUGCUACAAACACUCAUGCACCUAUCUGUAUUUAUUUCUCUUAGUUAAAAACUGCCAAGCAGAAUUUCUGUUUCAUAACAACUGCAAAUUUAGUUUUAUAAGAAAGCACCAAACUGCUUUUAAAAGUGGCUGAAUCAUUUUGCAUUCAAAUCAGAAAUAUUCUAGCUGUCUUACCUCUUUGGCAGUGGCUGGCAUUUUCAGUUUAUUUUUAAUCCAUAGCCAUUCCUCCCUUCUUUCAGCCCUAUCACGUGGAGGCUCUAUUUCCCCACAGAAGAUGCAGACUUUAGAAUGUCUCUCUUCACCGAGGAAGAGCAGUGAUUUGGGGCUCCAGGACACAGAAAGGAUUGGGAGGAACUGGAGCUCACUCUCAGGGCUCAGAAUCUUGAGAAGAUGCCAUGUGGAAAGAGACCCUUGCAUAGGCAUUUUGAUCUUCUAACUUUGCACACAGCAGUGCACGAAAGGAGCUGCUUCAGGUCUCUUCUGGUUCCAGAUGAAAUUUAGGAGUGAUUUCUCUAGAUCUAAAAGCUACUGAGACUCUGGCACCACGCUACCCCAAGCCACUGGGCCUGCAGAACCAAUGGCUCUCCUCUGCCUCCUCAGAACUCUGCAGUUCCAGACAAGCUGGGCCUCAGGGACACUGUGCGCCCACCUGCCCCUUGGAAGCACCACAGCUCUCCAAUCGCAGCCUAUGUGGAUGCGGAUGUAGACGCCUCAAACCCACCUCUCCACUUCACUGCAUCUGGAAGCCUGGAGGGACCCAAACAGUCUGGGCUCUGGGCAGAGUGUGCUGAGCACUCACCACAGGCUGCAGGGCCUCCAGAACCUGUGAUGCUCCACCGCUCGCAGAGACAUCCACAGUCCCCCAGACACACAGGGAGGCCAAUGCAGGCGCCCCAGAUCCACCCAACCCCUCCUCUGCACACCGAUGGCUAGGUGCAGCAGUCCGAAACAGUCUCACACCCUUGAUUUUUGCAUUUAGGUCUCCAAUCCCUCAGGGAUUGGAUUUUUGUGUCUGGUGUAAAGAUCCAAUUUCUUUUUUCCCUCUGUUUCUGAAUGGAUAUCAGUUACCACCACACUGUUUAUUAAAGAGUCCAUCUUUUCCUGCUGAUUUAUACAUCACAUCUCUCAUAUAUCAAGGUUUCAUAUGUGUACAGAUCAGUUUUUGGCCUGAAUUCCAUUUCAGCAGUCUAUUUUUCUUUCUCUGUGUCAGUAUCACACUGUGUUAAUUACUGUGGCUGUAUACUGACUGCUGGAGGUAGGCUGAUCUCACUAGGCUUGUUCUGCUCCCUUAGAAGUCUCUGGCAUGCUAUGGGCCUGG